RNAcentral lists this ribosomal RNA (425 nucleotides) under uncultured bacterium. RNAcentral's name for it is "bacterial SSU rRNA". It matches the Rfam family "Bacterial small subunit ribosomal RNA", at positions 355 to 772 of the family's 1533-position model. The record is from RNAcentral.
UGGGGAAUUUUGGACAAUGGGGGCAACCCUGAUCCAGCCAUGCCGCGUGUGUGAAGAAGGCCUUCGGGUUGUAAAGCACUUUCGGACGGAACGAAAUCGCGCGGGCGAAUAUCCCGCGUGGAUGACGGUACCGUAAGAAGAAGCACCGGCUAACUACGUGCCAGCAGCCGCGGUCAUACGUAGGGUGCGAGCGUUAAUCGGAAUUACUGGGCGUAAAGUGUGCGCAGGCGGCCUCGCAAGUCGAGUGUGAAAUCCCCGGGCUUAACUUGGGAAUUGCGCUCGAAACUACGGGGCUGGAGUGUGGCAGAGGGGGGUGGAAUUCCACGUGUAGCGGUGAAAUGCGUAGAGAUGUGGAGGAACACCAAUGGCGAAGGCAGCCCCCUGGGCCAACACUGACGCUCAUGCACGAAAGCGUGGGGAGCAAA